RNAcentral lists this unclassified non-coding RNA (279 nucleotides) under plant metagenome. RNAcentral describes it as "partial contains small subunit ribosomal RNA, internal transcribed spacer 1, and 5.8S ribosomal RNA". The record is from RNAcentral.
UUUCCGUAGGUGAACCUGCGGAAGGAUCAUUAUUGUAUAACCGAGUAUCGAGGGCUGUCGCUGACACGAAAGGUCUUGCACGCCCGAGUGCCCUGACACACAUCCAUCUCACCCCUAUGUGCACCACCACGUAUAUCCCACUUUGGCGUGUUCGGAGUAGGAUUUACGAUUUCACACAAAAUAUAUCUGCCAUGAAGAAUGUAUUUUUUGUUUUUGCGAACGCACAAUCCAUACAACUUUCAACACAGGAUCUCUUGGUUCUCGCAUCGCUGACGAACG